Molecule: long non-coding RNA, 361 nt
Organism: Varanus komodoensis (Komodo dragon)
Lineage: Eukaryota; Metazoa; Chordata; Lepidosauria; Squamata; Varanidae
Exons: 3
Source: RefSeq, a predicted model, not a curated record
CUGCUGUGCGGCCCCCCCACGGCUCGUCACCUCGGUCUGGGUCCCGCGGGCGGCCGGGCUGGUGCUCCCCAACGCAAGCAAGGCCCCGGACGUCUACGUGAAGGCCUGCUGCGAGGGACAAGAGGUGACGUCCGGCGUCCACAAGGCCUCCUCCGACCCAGACUUCAACUUCGGUGCCAUCUUCUGCCGCUGGCAGCCGCACAAGCCCAUCCGCAUCGAGGUCUGGGCCAAGCAGCUCCUGCGCAGCACGAGGCUGGGAUACGUCACCGUGUUGGCGGCCGAGCCCACGGAAGCGAGCCGGGCCGAGGUGCUGCAGCUGGAGGGGUCCCUCCGGGCCGGCCCCACCGGCUCCAUCCUGGUG